Molecule: non-coding RNA, 31 nt
Filed under: Mus musculus (house mouse)
Lineage: Eukaryota; Metazoa; Chordata; Mammalia; Rodentia; Muridae
Source: RNAcentral
AAAACAGUGAAUUAGCUGAAAAGAAAUGGAG